UACGAAGGGGGGCUAGCGUUGCUCGGAAUCACUGGGCGUAAAGCGCACGUAGGCGGAUUGCUAAGUCAGGGGUGAAAUCCUGGAGCUCAACUCCAGAACUGCCUUUGAUACUGGAGACCUUGAGUUGGGGAGGGAUGAGCGGAAUUCCUGGUGUAGCAGUGAAAUGCGUAGAGAUCAGGAGGAACACCGGUGGCGAAAGCGGCUCAUUGGCCCUACACUGACACUAAAGCACGAGAGCGUGGGGAGCAAACAGG
This 254-nucleotide ribosomal RNA is filed under the name uncultured bacterium. Its description in RNAcentral is "partial 16S ribosomal RNA". It matches the Rfam family "Bacterial small subunit ribosomal RNA", at positions 524 to 776 of the family's 1533-position model. The record is from RNAcentral.